UUUCCGUAGGUGAACCUGCGGAAGGAUCAUUCAUAAUAAGUGUUUUAUGGCACUUUUUUAAAUCCAUAUCCACCUUGUGUGCAAUGUCAGGGUUGAUUUUUCUCUCGAGAGGAUCAACCCCAAACAUCAACUAUAUCUCAACUCUUUGUCGGAAAAAUAUUAUGAAUAAAACAAUUCAAAAUACAACUUUCAACAACGGAUCUCUUGGCUCUC
Molecule: unclassified non-coding RNA, 213 nt
Filed under: plant metagenome
Description: partial contains small subunit ribosomal RNA, internal transcribed spacer 1, and 5.8S ribosomal RNA
Source: RNAcentral